AUACGGAGGAUCCGAGCGUUAUCCGGAUUUAUUGGGUUUAAAGGGUGCGCAGGCGGCCAUUUAAGUCCGCGGUUAAAUCGUGGGGCUCAACCCCAUUCUGCCGUUGAUACUGGGUGGCUUGAUUGCGGUCGAGGUUGGCGGAAUUCGUUGUGUAGCGGUGAAAUGCAUAGAUAUGACGAAGAACACCGAUUGCGUAGGCAGCUGACCAGACCGCAAAUGACGCUCAUGCACGAAAGUGCGGGGAUCGAACAGGAUUAGAUACCCUGGUAGUCCGCACAGUAAACGAUGAAUACUUGUUUUCGUCGAUAUAAUGUCGGAGGCAAAGCGAAAGCGAUAAGUAUUCCACCUGGGGAGUACGCCGGCAACGGUGAAACUCAAAUGAAUUGACGGGG
Molecule: ribosomal RNA, 392 nt
Filed under: uncultured bacterium
Lineage: Bacteria
Description: partial 16S ribosomal RNA
Rfam family: Bacterial small subunit ribosomal RNA
Source: RNAcentral